CGAUGAACCACUUCGGUGGGGAUUAGUGGCGAACGGGUGAGUAACACGUGGGCAAUCUGCCCUGCACUCUGGGACAAGCCCUGGAAACGGGGUCUAAUACCGGAUACGAGUCUCCAAGGCAUCUUGGAGACUGUAAAGCUCCGGCGGUGCAGGAUGAGCCCGCGGCCUAUCAGCUUGUUGGUGAGGUAAUGGCUCACCAAGGCGACGACGGGUAGCCGGCCUGAGAGGGCGACCGGCCACACUGGGACUGAGACACGGCCCAGACUCCUACGGGAGGCAGCAGUGGGGAAUAUUGCACAAUGGGCGAAAGCCUGAUGCAGCGACGCCGCGUGAGGGAUGACGGCCUUCGGGUUGUAAACCUCUUUCAGCAGGGAAGAAGCGAAAGUGACGGUACCUGCAGAAGAAGCGCCGGCUAACUACGUGCCAGCAGCCGCGGUAAUACGUAGGGCGCGAGCGUUGUCCGGAAUUAUUGGGCGUAAAGAGCUCGUAGGCGGCUUGUCACGUCGGUUGUGAAAGCCCGGGGCUUAACCCCGGGUCUGCAGUCGAUACGGGCAGGCUAGAGUUCGGUAGGGGAGAUCGGAAUUCCUGGUGUAGCGGUGAAAUGCGCAGAUAUCAGGAGGAACACCGGUGGCGAAGGCGGAUCUCUGGGCCGAUACUGACGCUGAGGAGCGAAAGCGUGGGGAGCGAACAGGAUUAGAUACCCUGGUAGUCCACGCCGUAAACGGUGGGCACUAGGUGUGGGCAACAUUCCACGUUGUCCGUGCCGCAGCUAACGCAUUAAGUGCCCCGCCUGGGGAGUA
Molecule: ribosomal RNA, 800 nt
Filed under: Streptomyces sp.
Lineage: Bacteria; Bacillati; Actinomycetota; Actinomycetes; Kitasatosporales; Streptomycetaceae
Description: bacterial SSU rRNA
Rfam family: Bacterial small subunit ribosomal RNA
Source: RNAcentral